This 916-nucleotide ribosomal RNA is filed under the name uncultured bacterium. RNAcentral's name for it is "bacterial SSU rRNA". It matches the Rfam family "Bacterial small subunit ribosomal RNA", at positions 576 to 1502 of the family's 1533-position model. The record is from RNAcentral.
CGGUACGGUAAGUCUGUAGUAAAAGGCGGCAGCUCAACUGUCGUAGGCUAUGGAAACUGUCGAACUAGAGUGCAGAAGAGGGCGAUGGAACUCCAUGUGUAGCGGUAAAAUGCGUAGAUAUAUGGAAGAACACCAGUGGCGAAGGCGGUCGCCUGGUCUGUAACUGACGCUGAAGCACGAAAGCGUGGGGAGCAAAUAGGAUUAGAUACCCUAGUAGUCCACGCCGUAAACGAUGAGAACUAAGUGUUGGGGGAAUAACUCAGUGCUGCAGUUAACGCAAUAAGUUCUCCGCCUGGGGAGUAUGCACGCAAGUGUGAAACUCAAAGGAAUUGACGGGGGCCCGCACAAGCGGUGGAGUAUGUGGUUUAAUUCGAAGCAACGCGAAGAACCUUACCAGGCCUUGACAUCCCCGGCGAAGACAUGGAGACAUGUCGGAGGUUAACCGGGAGACAGGUGGUGCAUGGUUGUCGUCAGCUCGUGUCGUGAGAUGUUGGGUUAAGUCCCGCAACGAGCGCAACCCUUGUGAUAUGUUACUAACAGUAAGAUGAGGACUCAUAUCAGACUGCCGGUGACAAACCGGAGGAAGGUGGGGAUGACGUCAAAUCAUCAUGCCCCUUAUGGCCUGGGCUACACACGUACUACAAUGGCGGCUACAAAGAGCGGCGAACCCGCGAGGGGGAGCGAAUCUCAUAAAGGUCGUCUCAGUUCGGAUUGAAGUCUGCAACCCGACUUCAUGAAGUUGGAAUCGCUAGUAAUCGCGAAUCAGCAUGUCGCGGUGAAUACGUUCUCGGGCCUUGUACACACCGCCCGUCAAACCAUGGGAGUUGGUAAUACCCGAAGCCGGUGGCAUAACCGCAAGGAGUGAACCGUCGAAGGUAGGAUCGAUGACUGGGGUUAAGUCGUAACAAGGUAACCA